Long non-coding RNA from Homo sapiens (human), 387 nucleotides. RefSeq lists it as uncharacterized. Lineage: Eukaryota; Metazoa; Chordata; Mammalia; Primates; Hominidae. The transcript is spliced from 2 exons. The record is from RefSeq and is a predicted model, not a curated record.
AAAGAAACAGGCCGAGGGAGACAACGUGCGUGGAAACCAUAGCAACGUCCUUUCUGGCCUCUGUUGACUGCCUCUCUUCCCCGGGCCUGGACUCUACACCUGACAAAGCAAAAUACUCAUUGACUUAAAUUCCCCCGAAACACGUUUCUCGCCCUCUCAUGGAGUCGAAGUCCUUCGGCCUCUGAGAAGACUCUUUGAGAUCUGCUCUCCGGACGAAAAAUAGAUUGAUUCAUACACGUCAUCUGCCUAAGUGCUAAGGAAAAGAAAUAAACAUACUGUGAGUUUCCUAUAUCAUCUUCCCACUAAUUUAACUACAUAAAGUGAAAUCAAUAAAGAUAUAUGGGAAACACCUGCAGGGUUUAGAAUAAAAAAUUAUGUCAGCUUCUA